Molecule: ribosomal RNA, 484 nt
Filed under: uncultured bacterium
Lineage: Bacteria
Description: partial 16S ribosomal RNA
Rfam family: Bacterial small subunit ribosomal RNA
Source: RNAcentral
AUUGAACGCUGGCGGCAGGCCUAACACAUGCAAGUCGAGCGGAUGAAGGGAGCUUGCUCCUGGAUUCAGCGGCGGACGGGUGAGUAAUGCCUAGGAAUCUGCCUGGUAGUGGGGGAUAACGUCCGGAAACGGGCGCUAAUACCGCAUACGUCCUGCGGGAGCAAGUGGGGGAUCUUCGGACCUUACGCCAUCAGAUGAGCACAGGUCGGAUUAGCUAGUUGGUGGGGUAAAGGCUUACCAAGGCGACGGUCCGUAACUGGUCUGAGGGGAUGAUCAGUCACACUGGACCUAAGGCACGGUCACACCUCCUACGGGAGGCGCAAGUGGAGAAAUUAGUAAAAUGGGCGAAAGCCUGAUCCAGCCAUGCCGCGUGUGUGAAGAAGGUCUUCGGAUUGUAAAGCACUUUAAGUUGGGGGGAAGGGCAGUAAGUUAAUACCUUGCUGUUUUGACGUUACCAACAGAAUAAGCACCGGCUAACUUCGUG